AGUGAACGCUGGCGGUAGGCCUAACACAUGCAAGUCGAACGGCAGCACAGUAAGAGCUUGCUCUUACGGGUGGCGAGUGGCGGACGGGUGAGGAAUACAUCGGAAUCUACUUUUUCGUGGGGGAUAACGUAGGGAAACUUACGCUAAUACCGCAUACGACCUACGGGUGAAAGCAGGGGAUCUUCGGACCUUGCGCGAUUGAAUGAGCCGAUGUCGGAUUAGCUAGUUGGCGGGGUAAAGGCCCACCAAGGCGACGAUCCGUAGCUGGUCUGAGAGGAUGAUGAGGCACACUGGAACUGAGACACGGUCCAGACUCCUACGGGAGGCAGCAGUGGGGAAUAUUGGACAAUGGGCGCAAGCCUGAUCCAGCCAUACCGCGUGGGUGAAGAAGGCCUUCGGGUUGUAAAGACCUUUUGUUGGGAAAGAAAAGCAGCAGGUUAAUACCCCGCUGUUCUGACGGUACCCAAAGAAUAAGCACCGGCUAACUUCGUG
RNAcentral lists this ribosomal RNA (492 nucleotides) under uncultured bacterium. RNAcentral describes it as "partial 16S ribosomal RNA". It matches the Rfam family "Bacterial small subunit ribosomal RNA", at positions 29 to 507 of the family's 1533-position model. The record is from RNAcentral.